GUCCUCCUAUACAUUCCUCUCGCUUUUCGUCCUUUAUUCUCGACGACGACCAGCCUCCUCCUUCUUUCUUCAAGGCUGCGCGGGGCCCUCUCCUCGGAUACCACUUUGUCCAUACCCCACAUCACCCGCAUACCCCCCCUGUCUCCCUAACAUCCGAUCCGCUCUCGCUGCUCGCUGCUCGCUGUAUUACACUCGCAUCUAUCCACACACUUCAACGCAUCAGCAAUGGAAAUCUACACGACAUCUUUCACUUAUCCUCGUCGCCUGCGACACGCUCAUUCACCCACCAACUCCCUCGACUUCCCUCCUCGCUCCAACGAACUUCGCCGCGCUAGCUCCUACUCCGCCAUUCAGCAGCCGAAUGGUCUCGACCCACACGGCGGCGCGUCCCAAGCCGACUACGAAGCUCUCCAGAAGCUGGGCAUGAUGGCCAUGAGCCUCCAUGGCGUCCACAUCUCCUUCACGCCGGCCGACCAAGGACGCGCUUGGAACUUCCAGGUUUCCGGAACCUACCCGCAGGUCAUGUCAGCGAGGGGUAUGCUUCUGAAGGGAUGUCCGGUGCAGGUACGUUCCCCUUCGUCGCCAUCAUGUCUGCAGCACUGAGCGACCUCUGCGGUGCCCAGAAUCGGUCGUCUAUCAAGGUCGCGCGGUCGGAGAUCCUCGAUUCACCCUCUUUGAAGCCCACGCUUAAGCCUGAGGUUCGCCGUCGCCUCGACGACAUCGCGUCGCAGACCUACGCCCACAUUGCCGUCGUCAACAGCCCGUUGUCAUUGUCCACGCGCACCCUCCCCGAUGCUAUUACGAGUAGCGCCGGGUGGACCGGUCUCGAGUCCGAGCGGGUUUGCGAGCUCGUCAUCACCGGACACGGGGACUCCGUGGACCUUGCCCGUGUUCGCCUGCUUGUCAUGUUGGACGAACUGGUGGGCACACAUCAUUCUGUGGCGUUCGCGUUCACGUCUAACGUGCUGCACAGAGCGGUCUUCACGCCGAGUCGUGCGAAAUCGAGAACACCCUCCAUGCCAUCAUCGCAGGCAGGAAGCGGGGUGUGCUGCAGACAAUCCAGGAGGAGACCGCAACAAACAUCUAUCUUCCUUCUCCGCUUCAAGGGGUCUUGGGCAAUGAUCUUAGCCAGUCACCGUCGAGUACCUCGUCUAACGGCGCGGUGAACAAGGUCAACAUGAACACGAUCUUCAUCACCGGCGAGUUUUUCGGCGUUCAACGCGCGCGCGACAUGCUGUUCCAGAUGUCUCUUAGCAAGGUUCGCGUUUCCAUGACGGCACCCGCGACCUGUGCUGGGUGCUAAUACUUGAUUUGGAUCACAGAGCAAGCAGCUCAUCUCUAGGGACAGCGCAGUCCUGCCGCGCAAGAUGGAUUGGAUGGUCACCGAGCGUGCGGAGGAUCUCAAGACCCUCAUGCACGACAACGCAACCUUUAUUCAGUUCCCACCUAUCGGUAGUUCUACAAGUUUAAUUACGGUGAUCGGCGACAACCGAGUCAACGUUCAACGGACCAUCAGGUCUAUAAUGCAACUGGUAUGUUUCAGUGUAUGCAUGAUACCUUACGCAUCAGAUUUGUUUAACUGCUCUCAUCUUACAGGCUUGCCAAUUCUACGUCGCCUCGUUGUGGUUGUUGCCCGCCCAAUUCAAUGUUCUUAUGCCCUCGACGAGCUUGAACCCUUCUCAAGUCUCGGCGAUCCUAAAGCAGGUGUCCUACGCCUCCGGAGCAGAGAUAGUCUUUAAGGGCAUGUGUUUCGAGAUGCAUGGCUUGGAACAUGAAGUUCGUGCUGCUGUUAUCAUGCUCCUCGACCUGGAUGUUGUCAAGGUAUAUUUUGUUCCCUCCCUGUUUCCAUUGCAGGACUUCAUCUCAUCACGACUUAGACGUUCCAUCACGAGAUCCGCUUCCAAGUCGAGCUUGCGAAUGAGCACCGCGAGUUCAUUAGUGGCAAGAAGAACGGCAAGAUCAACAAGAUUAUGCAGACGACGAACGUCAAGAUCAAGUUUGAGACGUUCAAUGAGCACAACUUCCUCAUCGAUAUCGCGGGAAGUGACGCGUCCGUUCUGCAAGGCCUCACGCUGUUGCAGGAGGAGCUUCCAGCGGAGAUCUCGUUCCAUGUCCCCGAGUCGUACCAUAAGCGCAUCAUUGGUGUAGGUGGUCGUAGCAUUCAGCGUAUCAUGAAGAAAUACGGCGUCUACGUCAAGUUCUCGAACGCGGAGGAGUUCGCCGCGAUGGGCGGGUACAACGACAACGAGGACAAUGUCGUUGCUCGCACUCCCGCGAAGAACGCCAUGAACCUUGACAACCUUAAGCAGGCCGUUAUGGAGCUAGUGAACCCCAAGGUCAGUUUAACAGCGUUCGUUUCUCAAUUAGUCCUUGUCUGACACUGCAUCGUAUAGGACAAGGAUUACAUCAAUGAAACGGUCUCCAUUCCAAGGCGGUAUCACCGCACCCUGCUCGGCGAAAAGAGUAUAUUCAUUCACGACAUCGAAACGAAGACCAACUGCUCUGUUCGCUUCCCUGACAAGGAAACCGCCUCCGACCUCGUCACGAUCUUCGGGCCCGAGUCGCAGGUCCAGAUCGCAGCCACGAUGCUCUUUGUGCGUCUACUUUGCCCAUUUCGCGUUUUCAUAUCACCUAACCCUGCUAUAGGACCACGUUCCGUUUGAAGCCGACAUGGCCGUACCCCCGCACCCUGACCUCGCCAGGAUAUGCUCCUCUCCGGACUUUGUCAGCUUUACUGAGCGCGUCAAACGCGACCUCCAGGUUAUCAUCUCUCCGAACGUCAAGACGGCCGCUGUGAACGGCUCCAUUCCGGAAGUGCCUUCCGAAUGCUCGUUCAAGUUCCGAUGUCAGCGCAGCAACAGCGACUUCCUCGUCACCGCUCGGGAGAUGCUUGAGCAAUUCCUCAUCGAGCAUAACGUGCAUGUUUAUCCCUCUGCCACGUCUCGCACGCAUCAACGCGGUGACUCUUUCACCGACGCCUUCCCGCACUUCGACAGCAAAGUUCUUUCAACCGCAAGAACACGUCAUCAAAGUAU
Molecule: long non-coding RNA, 3035 nt
Filed under: Ganoderma lucidum
Lineage: Eukaryota; Fungi; Basidiomycota; Agaricomycetes; Polyporales; Polyporaceae
Description: long non-coding RNA (GLUC_LNC000002)
Source: RNAcentral